AGCGUCGUAGCUCAGCUGGUAGAGCAUGCGCGUACAAAGCGUAGGUGGCGUCCAUGCGUGGGUUCGAAUCCCACCGAGACUA
Molecule: transfer RNA, 82 nt
Filed under: Echinostoma caproni
Lineage: Eukaryota; Metazoa; Platyhelminthes; Trematoda; Plagiorchiida; Echinostomatidae
Rfam family: tRNA
About the family: Transfer RNA (tRNA) molecules are approximately 80 nucleotides in length. Their secondary structure includes four short double-helical elements and three loops (D, anti-codon, and T loops). Further hydrogen bonds mediate the characteristic L-shaped molecular structure. tRNAs have two regions of fundamental functional importance: the anti-codon, which is responsible for specific mRNA codon recognition, and the 3' end, to which the tRNAs corresponding amino acid is attached (by aminoacyl-tRNA synthetases). tRNAs cope with the degeneracy of the genetic code in two manners: having more than one tRNA (with a specific anti-codon) for a particular amino acid; and 'wobble' base-pairing, i.e. permitting non-standard base-pairing at the 3rd anti-codon position.
Source: Rfam by way of RNAcentral